This 591-nucleotide ribosomal RNA is filed under the name uncultured bacterium. Its description in RNAcentral is "partial 16S ribosomal RNA". It matches the Rfam family "Bacterial small subunit ribosomal RNA", at positions 355 to 1375 of the family's 1533-position model. The record is from RNAcentral.
UGGGGAAUUUUGGACAAUGGGCGAAAGCCUGAUCCAGCAAUGCCGCGUGUGUGAAGAAGGCCUUCGGGUUGUAAAGCACUUUUGUCCGGAAAGAAAUCCUUGGCUCUAAUACAGUCGGGGGAUGACGGUACCGGAAGAAUAAGCACCGGCUAACUACGUGCCAGCAGCCGCGGUAAUACGUAGGGUGCAAGCGUUAAUCGGAAUUACUGGGCGUAAAGCGUGCGCAGGCGGUUUGCUAAGACCGAUGUGAAAUCCCCGGGCUCAACCUGGGAACUGCAUUGGUGACUGGCAGGCUAGAGUAUGGCAGAGGGGGGUAGAAUUCCACGUGUAGCAGUGAAAUGCGUAGAGAUGUGGAGGAAUACCGAUGGCGAAGGCAGCCCCCCUGGGCCAAAUACUGACGCUCAUGCACGAAAGCGUGGGGAGCAAAACAGGAUUAGAUACCCUGGUAGUCCACGCCCUAAAACGAUGUCAACUAGUUGUUGGGGAUUCAUUUCCUUAGUAACGUAGCUAACGCGUGAAGUUGACCGCCUGGGGGAGUACGGUCGCAAGAUUAAAAACUCAAAGGAAUUGACGGGGUCAUAGCUGUUUCCU